This 420-nucleotide ribosomal RNA is filed under the name bacterium. Its description in RNAcentral is "partial 16S ribosomal RNA". It matches the Rfam family "Bacterial small subunit ribosomal RNA", at positions 355 to 776 of the family's 1533-position model. The record is from RNAcentral.
UGGGGGAUAUUGCACAAUGGGCGAAAGCCUGAUGCAGCGACGCCGCGUGGGGGAUGAAGGCUUUCGGGUUGUAAACCUCUUUCGCUAUCGAACAAGGCCCGCUUAGGGUGGGUUGAGGGUAGGUGGAGAAGAAGCGCCGGCUAACUACGUGCCAGCAGCCGCGGUAAUACGUAGGGCGCGAGCGUUGUCCGGAAUUAUUGGGGGUAAAGGGCUUGUAGGCGGCUUGUUGCGCCUGCUGUGAAAACGCGGGGCUUAACUUCGCGCGUGCAGUGGGUACGGGCAGGCUUGAGUGUGGUAGGGGUGACUGGAAUUCCAGGUGUAGCGGUGGAAUGCGCAGAUAUCUGGAGGAACACCGAUGGCGAAGGCAGGUCACUGGGCCAUUACUGACGCUGAGGAGCGAAAGAAUGGGUAGCGAACAGG